GUCACACUAUCAUUAACUGAAUCCAUAGGUUAAUGAGGCGAACCGGGGGAACUGAAACAUCUAAGUACCCCGAGGAAAAGAAAUCAACCGAGAUUCCCCCAGUAGCGGCGAGCGAACGGGGAGGAGCCCAGAGCCUGAAUCAGCAUGUGUGUUAGUGGAAGCGUCUGGAAAGGCGCGCGAUACAGGGUGACAGCCCCGUACACAAAAGCGCAUGUGCUGUGAGCUCGAUGAGUAGGGCGGGACACGUGGUAUCCUGUCUGAAUAUGGGGGGACCAUCCUCCAAGGCUAAAUACUCCUGACUGACCGAUAGUGAACCAGUACCGUGAGGGAAAGGCGAAAAGA
This 342-nucleotide ribosomal RNA is filed under the name Salmonella enterica subsp. enterica serovar Indiana. Its description in RNAcentral is "partial 23S ribosomal RNA". It matches the Rfam family "Bacterial large subunit ribosomal RNA", at positions 142 to 522 of the family's 2925-position model. Lineage: Bacteria; Pseudomonadati; Pseudomonadota; Gammaproteobacteria; Enterobacterales; Enterobacteriaceae. The record is from RNAcentral.